This 998-nucleotide ribosomal RNA is filed under the name uncultured archaeon. RNAcentral describes it as "bacterial SSU rRNA". It matches the Rfam family "Archaeal small subunit ribosomal RNA", at positions 76 to 1079 of the family's 1478-position model. The record is from RNAcentral.
CCUCGGCAUACUGCCCAGUAACACGUGGACAACCUACCCUAUGGAGAGGGAUAACCCCGGGAAACUGGGGAUAAUACCUCAUAGACUAUGGAUGCUGGAAUGCUCUGUAGCCAAAAGGUCAGCCGCCAUAGGAUGGGUCUGCGGCCGAUUAGGUAGUUGUUGGGGUAACGGCCCAACAAGCCUGUAAUCGGUACGGGUUGUGGGAGCAAGAGCCCGGAGAUGGAUUCUGAGACACGAAUCCAGGCUCUACGGGGCGCAGCAGGCGCGAAAACUUUACAAUGCGGGAAACCGUGAUAAGGGAACUCCGAGUGCCCGUUAAAUCGGGCUGUCCAUCUGUGUAAAUAACAGGUGAAGAAAGGGCCGGGCAAGACCGGUGCCAGCCGCCGCGGUAAUACCGGCGGCUCGAGUGGUGGCCACUAUUACUGGGCUUAAAGCGUUCGUAGCUGGUUUGUUAAGUCUCUGGGGAAAUCUUCCGGCUUAACCGGAAGGCGUCUCAGGGAUACUGGCAGACUAGGGACCGGAAGAGGUGAGGGGUACUCCAGGGGUAGGAGUGAAAUCCUGUAAUCCUUGGGGGACCACCUGUGGCGAAGGCGCCUCACCAGAACGGCUCCGACAGUGAGGGACGAAAGCUGGGGGAGCAAACCGGAUUAGAUACCCGGGUAGUCCCAGCCGUAAACGAUGUGCGUUAGGUGUAUCGGUGACCACGAGUCACCGAGGUGCCGAAGAGAAAUCGUGAAACGUACCGCCUGGGAAGUACGGUCGCAAGGCUGAAACUUAAAGGAAUUGGCGGGGGAGCACCACAACAGGUGGAGCCUGCGGUUUAAUCGGACUCAACGCCGGAAAACUCACCAGAUAAGACAGCUGAAUGAUAGUCGGGCUGAAGACUCUACUUGACUAGCUGAGAGGAGGUGCAUGGCCGUCGUCAGUUCGUACUGUGAAGCAUCCUGUUAAGUCAGGCAACGAGCGAGACCCACGCCAACAGUUGCUAGCUCGUCCCC